UAGUCCACGCUGUAAACGAUGUCGACUAGCUGUUUGUCCAAUUGAGGAUAAGUGGCGUAGCUAGCGCGCUAAGUUGACCGCCUGGGGAGUACGGCCGCAAGGCUAAAACUCAAAGGAAUUGACGGGGGCCCGCACAAGCGGUGGAGCAUGUGGUUUAAUUCGAUGCAACGCGAAGAACCUUACCUACCCUUGACAUCCUCGGAAGGUUUUGGAGACAAGACUGUGCUGUAAAAGGAGCCGAGAGACGGGUGCUGCAUGGCUGUCGUCAGCUCGUGUUGUGAAAUGUUGGGUUAAGUCCCGUAACGAGCGCAACCCUUAUCUUUAGUUGCCAGGGGCUAUUAGUCCGGUACUUUAAAGAGACUGCCGGUGUUAAGCCGGAGGAAGGCGGGGACGAUGUCAAGUCAUCAUGGCCCUUAUGGGUAGGGCUACACACGUGCUACAAUGGUCGGUACAAAGGGAAGCGAACCUGCGAGGGGGAGCGAAUCUUAUAAAGCCGGUCGUAGUCCGGAUUGGAGUCUGCAACUCGACU
RNAcentral lists this ribosomal RNA (529 nucleotides) under uncultured bacterium. RNAcentral describes it as "bacterial SSU rRNA". It matches the Rfam family "Bacterial small subunit ribosomal RNA", at positions 791 to 1317 of the family's 1533-position model. The record is from RNAcentral.